ACUCCUACGGGAGGCAGCAGUAGGGAAUCUUCCACAAUGGGCGCAAGCCUGAUGGAGCAACACCGCGUGAGUGAAGAAGGGUUUCGGCUCGUAAAGCUCUGUUGUUAAAGAAGAACACGUAUGAGAGUAACUGUUCAUACGUUGACGGUAUUUAACCAGAAAGUCACGGCUAACUACGUGCCAGCAGCCGCGGUAAUACGUAGGUGGCAAGCGUUAUCCGGAUUUAUUGGGCGUAAAGAGAGUGCAGGCGGUUUUCUAAGUCUGAUGUGAAAGCCUUCGGCUUAACCGGAGAAGUGCAUCGGAAACUGGAUAACUUGAGUGCAGAAGAGGUAGUGGAACUCCAUGUGUAGCGGUGGAAUGCGUAGAUAUAUGGAAGAACACCAGUGGCGAAGGCGGCUACCUGGUCUGCAACUGACGCUGAGACUCGAAAGCAUGGGUAGCGAACAGGAUUAGAUACCCCUGGUAGGAUAGAG
Molecule: ribosomal RNA, 473 nt
Filed under: uncultured bacterium
Lineage: Bacteria
Description: bacterial SSU rRNA
Rfam family: Bacterial small subunit ribosomal RNA
Source: RNAcentral